AGUGAACGCUGGCGGUAGGCCUAACACAUGCAAGUCGAACGGCAGCACAGUAAGAGCUUGCUCUUACGGGUGGCGAGUGGCGGACGGGUGAGGAAUACAUCGGAAUCUACUUUUUCGUGGGGGAUAACGUAGGGAAACUUACGCUAAUACCGCAUACGACCUACGGGUGAAAGCAGGGGAUCUUCGGACCUUGCGCGAUUGAAUGAGCCGAUGUCGGAUUAGCUAGUUGGCGGGGUAAAGGCCCACCAAGGCGACGAUCCGUAGCUGGUCUGAGAGGAUGAAUCGCCCCCCUGGAACUGAGACCCGGUCCAGGCCCCUACGGGAGGCAGCAGUGGGGAAUAUUUGACAAUGGGCGCAAGCCUGAUCCAGCCAUACCGCGUGGGUGAAGAAGGCCUUCGGGUUGUAAAGCCCUUUUGUUGGGAAAGAAAAGCAGCAGGUUAAUACCCCGCUGUUCUGACGGUACCCAAAGAAUAAGCACCGGCUAACUUCGUG
RNAcentral lists this ribosomal RNA (492 nucleotides) under uncultured bacterium. RNAcentral describes it as "partial 16S ribosomal RNA". It matches the Rfam family "Bacterial small subunit ribosomal RNA", at positions 29 to 507 of the family's 1533-position model. The record is from RNAcentral.